Molecule: ribosomal RNA, 443 nt
Filed under: uncultured Bacteroides sp.
Lineage: Bacteria; Pseudomonadati; Bacteroidota; Bacteroidia; Bacteroidales; Bacteroidaceae
Description: bacterial SSU rRNA
Rfam family: Bacterial small subunit ribosomal RNA
Source: RNAcentral
CCUACGGGAGGCAGCAGUGAGGAAUAUUGGUCAAUGGACGAGAGUCUGAACCAGCCAAGUAGCGUGAAGGAUGAAGGUCCUACGGAUUGUAAACUUCUUUUAUAAGGGAAUAAAACCUCCCACGUGUGGGAGCUUGUAUGUACCUUAUGAAUAAGCAUCGGCUAACUCCGUGCCAGCAGCCGCGGUAAUACGGAGGAUGCGAGCGUUAUCCGGAUUUAUUGGGUUUAAAGGGAGCGCAGACGGGUCGUUAAGUCAGCUGUGAAAGUUUGGGGCUCAACCUUAAAAUUGCAGUUGAUACUGGCGUCCUUGAGUGCGGUUGAGGUGUGCGGAAUUCGUGGUGUAGCGGUGAAAUGCUUAGAUAUCACGAAGAACUCCGAUUGCGAAGGCAGCACACUAAGCCGUAACUGACGUUCAUGCUCGAAAGUGUGGGUAUCAAACAGGAU